CUGAGUGAAGAAAGGCAGGGGUGGGACAGUAGUGUCACUGGCUUCCCAAUGCAUGAGAUCUUCAACUCCACACCCAGCGGAGACCCAGAGGCAGACCCAGGUGAAUCAUUCCUCCACAUGGUCCCCUAAUUUUAGCCUUGCCGACCCUCCACAUCGCCAAGUGGCUUUCUACCUGCGCUGAAAUCCGACUGAUACAGCCAAUAAGAAUUUUAAAACAGAAUCAAUCCGAAUCUCUGCUAAUAUUUGAAACGCGUCAAGAAUCUCAUUGUUCACGUCAACCCACAGUUCCAGUUUGGCUCUGAAUGCAGCCACUGUAUUUGAAGACUUGAAUACAGUCAUCGUGCUCAGUGAGCUGAUGGAUUAAGUUCGUUGUGAAGGCUGAAUACGUCACACAAUUCUGCAGCUGUGGUGAGGACCUGUCAGACUGGAAGGAAAAGAAGCAGAGAAACACGGUGACAUGGAAGUCAGAGAAACAGACUCCCAAAAUGACCGUAGGCUAGGAAGUGACAAGAGGAAUCUGAGGUGGCCUUCAACAGAGAAGAGUAAGGAAGGGGAAAAGAAGCUACAGCCUUUGGAGUAGACACAGAAAGAAUAAAUACUUUCAACGGACCAUAUUCAAAAAGCUUUGCUGUCACUGGAAGGCCCCAGAGGAGAUGACUGAGGGGGAACAAAGUCAAGCUGAAUCUCUUUAACAUAAACAGUGGAGAUGUGUAAGAUGUUGAUGAGAAAAGAGACAAGGAGAGCAAAACGUACAAACCAGGGAGGUAGGAAGUAAAGGCAGUAAGGAAAAUUCCAAGAAUUCAGAAGAAUGAACGAGUCAGCCUUUGAGCAACAGGGGGAGAUAGGCUAAGGGUAUAACCGCACCGUGGUCCCCAGCGUGAUGUGUGCUUACAUUUAACCGAGUGAUGAAGCGCUUCAGAUCCAUCUGGUUU
Molecule: long non-coding RNA, 932 nt
Organism: Fukomys damarensis (Damara mole-rat)
Lineage: Eukaryota; Metazoa; Chordata; Mammalia; Rodentia; Bathyergidae
Exons: 3
Source: RefSeq, a predicted model, not a curated record